CUCGGGUGACGACCGGCGGAGGGGUGAGUAAUGUCUGGGAAGCUGCCUGAUGGAGGGGGAUAACUACUGGAAACGGUAACUAAUACCGCAUAAUGUCUCAUGACCAAAGUGGGGGACCUUCGGGCCUCUUGCCAUCAGAUGUGCCCAGAUGGGAUUAGCUAGUAGGUGGGGUAACGGCUCUGCUAGGCGACGAUCCCUAGCUGGUCUGAGAGGAUGACCAGGCACACUGGAACUGAAACACGGCCCCAACUCCUACCGGAGGCAGCAUGGGGGAAUAUUGUGCAAUGGGCGCAAGCCUGAUGCAGCCAUGCCGCGUGGGUGAAGAAGGCCUUCGGGUUGUAAAGCACUUUCAGCGGGGAGGAAGGCGUUGAGGUUAAUAACCUUGUGUCUUGACGUUACCCGCAGAAGAAGCACCGGCUAACUCCGUGCCAGCAACCGCGGUAAUACGUGAGGGUGCAAGCGUUAAUCGGAAUUACUGGGCGUGAACCGCACGCAGGCGGUCUGUCAAGUCGGAUGUGAAAUCCCCGGGCUUGCCCUGGUAACUGCAUUCGAAACUGGUUAGCUAGAGUCUUGUAGAGGGGGGUAGAAUUCCAGGUGUACCGGUGAAAUGCGUCGAGAUCUGGAUGAACUACGGUGGUAUCUGAUGCUGU
RNAcentral lists this ribosomal RNA (650 nucleotides) under Klebsiella pneumoniae. RNAcentral's name for it is "bacterial SSU rRNA". It matches the Rfam family "Bacterial small subunit ribosomal RNA", at positions 83 to 725 of the family's 1533-position model. The record is from RNAcentral. Lineage: Bacteria; Pseudomonadati; Pseudomonadota; Gammaproteobacteria; Enterobacterales; Enterobacteriaceae.